Molecule: long non-coding RNA, 233 nt
Organism: Carassius carassius (crucian carp)
Lineage: Eukaryota; Metazoa; Chordata; Actinopteri; Cypriniformes; Cyprinidae
Exons: 3
Source: RefSeq, a predicted model, not a curated record
UGUUUGUUUUUGUAGACGUUGAAAUCCAGAGACAAGAUAACUUAAUUCUUUUGAGACUGAUAACUCAAACCAACUUUGGAGUUGUCUGAUUUGGAGAGUCAUCAUUCUUGGUCUUCCCUCUUAAAGGCCACUGAUGAAGAGCAGGCGGUGACUGGGAGGAAUGCUGGUCAAAGAAGAUAUUGUCCUUUCCCCUAAACUGAUGCAGCGGUUUUAAAGGAGGACACUUCCCUGGA